GGAUAAAUUCGUCAUUCGAACGCCUA
This 26-nucleotide non-coding RNA is filed under the name Mus musculus (house mouse). The record is from RNAcentral. Lineage: Eukaryota; Metazoa; Chordata; Mammalia; Rodentia; Muridae.